RNAcentral lists this ribosomal RNA (456 nucleotides) under Triticum aestivum (bread wheat). Its description in RNAcentral is "partial small subunit ribosomal RNA". The record is from RNAcentral. Lineage: Eukaryota; Viridiplantae; Streptophyta; Magnoliopsida; Poales; Poaceae.
AUGAGCAACCGGGGGAAGCGGUGCCGGCCCGGGAUGCGCCUCGCGCAGGCCGCCUUCGCGGCCGCCGCGCUCGCCGCCAUGGCGUCCACCCACGGAUUCGCCUCCGUCACCGCGUUCCGCUACCUCAUAGUAGCAGCAACUGUGCAAUGCCUGUGGAGCCUCGCUGUGGCCAUUGUGGAUCUCUAUGCACUUCUUUUCAAACGUUCCUUCCGAAAUGCCCGAGCUUUCAGCAUACUUGCUCUUGGGGACUGGGUCACAGGAGCAAUGAUCUUCAGCGCAGCGUGUGGAUCGGCAGGCAUCACCGUUCUCCUUGACAAUGAUCUCAGAUCUUGCCCGGGAAAUCACUGUCCAAACUUCAUGACUGCUACCGCCAUGGCUUUCUUGUGCUGGUUUGUUCGUGUGCCAUCCGGUAUCGUAAGCCUUUGGUGGGCGGUCUACGAAAUACAAAGAUCCUAG